UCUUCCCUCUGGCGGCGUGCCUAAUACAUGCAAGUCGAGCGAACGGACGAGAAGCUUGCUUCUCUGAUGUUAGCGGCGGACGGGUGAGUAACACGUGGAUAACCUACCUAUAAGACUGGGAUAACUUCGGGAAACCGGAGCUAAUACCGGAUAAUAUUUUGAACCGCAUGGUUCAAAAGUGAAAGACGGUCUUGCUGUCACUUAUAGAUGGAUCCGCGCUGCAUUAGCUAGUUGGUAAGGUAACGGCUUACCAAGGCAACGAUGCAUAGCCGACCUGAGAGGGUGAUCGGCCACACUGGAACUGAGACACGGUCCAGACUCCUACGGGAGGCAGCAGUAGGGAAUCUUCCGCAAUGGGCGAAAGCCUGACGGAGCAACGCCGCGUGAGUGAUGAAGGUCUUCGGAUCGUAAAACUCUGUUAUUAGGGAAGAACAUAUGUGUAAGUAACUGUGCACAUCUUGACGGUACCUAAUCAGAAAGCCACGGCUAACUACGUG
This 497-nucleotide ribosomal RNA is filed under the name uncultured bacterium. Its description in RNAcentral is "partial 16S ribosomal RNA". It matches the Rfam family "Bacterial small subunit ribosomal RNA", at positions 36 to 507 of the family's 1533-position model. The record is from RNAcentral.